UACUCGCAACAUAAUGUUUUAUCUUGUUAAACAAGCCAAUAAAAUUAUAUUCCCCAAUCACUCCAUCACAAACCCCUCGUGUGUGUUUCCACUUGCGAUCUGAAAGAGUGUAAGAAAACAUGCAGAAGGACAUGGGAACUGCAGGAGAUCAACAUCUUCCACCACCAGGAUAUCCAGCUCCAGAAGAGGUCUCUGGACAACCAGGACAAGACAUGAAUAAGAAGAAGCCCUUCGAGACAAAGCAGAAAGGAGACAGAGGCUUCAUUGAAGGAUGUCUCUUUGCACUAUGCUGCUGCUGGAUCUGUGACAUGUGUUUCUAAGACAUAGAAGGAUGAACGUAACGUAUCUAUAACUAUUAGUGGCUUUUAAUAUAAUUACUACCGAGAGCGUUUGAAGGACUAUAUAGUAGCUCAAUCUGAACUUUCUUAUACUAUCCGUGUGGUGUUUGUAUAUAUAUUAAACGGAGAUUAUUAUUAUACUAAAUAAUGUAAAGGUCAUCACCAUAUUUUCUGAGCUGAUAUAGGAUCGGUUAGAGAAUUAAACCAACCGGAUUGAUACUGGAUUCAUGCUUGCUCUAUACAACCCGUCCGUACCGGCUUAACAUUCAAAGAAAUUCGGUAUCGUAAAAGCUUUUACAGACCAUGCCAACAUAAGUGCAAAUCAAUUAUACAAUAAAAAUGGCUGCUGCGUCAACAUCUACUACUAAAACCAAAAUUCUCCGCAUCUUCUGCUCUCCUGAAAUUGUCAGGAUC
Long non-coding RNA from Raphanus sativus (radish), 752 nucleotides. RefSeq lists it as uncharacterized. The transcript has 4 exons. Lineage: Eukaryota; Viridiplantae; Streptophyta; Magnoliopsida; Brassicales; Brassicaceae. The record is from RefSeq and is a predicted model, not a curated record.